RNAcentral lists this ribosomal RNA (716 nucleotides) under uncultured bacterium. RNAcentral describes it as "bacterial SSU rRNA". It matches the Rfam family "Bacterial small subunit ribosomal RNA", at positions 8 to 735 of the family's 1533-position model. The record is from RNAcentral.
AGAGUUUGAUCCUGGCUCAGGACGAACGCUGGCGGCGUGCUUAACACAUGCAAGUCAAGGGGGCUCGCAAGAGCAACCGGCGAACGGGUGCGUAACACGUGAGCAACCUGCCUAAGUGUGGGGGAUAGCCGGCCCAACGGCCGGGUAAUACCGCAUACGAUCACUAGUCGGCAUCGACAUGUGAUGAAACUUUCGAGGCACUUAGAGGGGCUCGCGGCCUAUCAGCUUGUUGGUGGGGUAAUGGCCUACCAAGGCGACGACGGGUAGCUGGUCUGAGAGGAUGGCCAGCCACAUUGGGACUGAGAUACGGCCCAGACUCCUACGGGAGGCAGCAGUGGGGAAUAUUGCGCAAUGGGCGAAAGCCUGACGCAGCGACGCCGCGUGGGGGAUGAAGCAUUUCGGUGUGUAAACCCCUGNUUGCUCGGGACGAACAACUGGUUUUGACCAGUCUGACGGUACCGGGUGAGGAAGCACCGGCUAACUCCGUGCCAGCAGCCGCGGUAAUACGGAGGGUGCGAGCGUUGUCCGGAAUCACUGGGCGUAAAGGGCGCGUAGGCGGUCUGCUAAGCGUGUGGUGAAAGCUCGGGGCUCAACCCCGAGUCUGCCAUGCGAACUGGUGGACUUGAGCACUGUANAGGCAGGUGGAAUUCCGGGUGUAGCGGUGGAAUGCGUAGAGAUCCGGAAGAACACCAGUGGCGAANGCGGCCUGCUGGGCA